CGCUGGCGGCACGCCUAACACAUGCAAGUCGAACGAGGUAGCAAUACCAAGUGGCAGACGGGUGCGUAACAUGUGGGAAUCUGCCUUUUGGUUCGGAACAACAUGGGGAAACCUGUGCUAAUACCGGAUAAGUCCUAACGGAGAAAGUUUUAACGCCGAAAGAUGAGCCCGCAUUUGAUUAGCUUGUUGGUGAGGUAAAAGCUCACCAAGGCAAUGAUCAAUAGCUGAUUUGAGAGGAUGAUCAGCCACACUGGGACUGAGACACGGCCCAGACUCCUACGGGAGGCAGCAGUGGGGAAUCUUGCACAAUGGAGGAAACUCUGAUGCAGCGAUGCCGCGUGAGUGAAGAAGGCCUUUGGGUUGUAAAGCUCUUUUGUCGGGAAAGAUAAUGACUGUACCCGAAGAAUAAGGUCCGGCUAACUUCGUGCCAGCAGCCGCGGUAAUACGAAGGGACCUAGCGUAGUUCGGAAUUACUGGGCGUAAAGCGCGCGUAGGCGGUUAUGUAAGUUAAUUGUGAAAGCCCAAAGCUCAACUUUGGAACUGCAAUUAAAACUAUUUAGCUAGAGUUUGAUAGAGGAAAGCGGAAUACAUAGUGUAGAGGUGAAAUUCGUAGAUAUUAUGUAGAACACCAGUUGCGAAGGCGGCUUUCUGGAUCAUUACUGACGCUGAGGUGCGAAAGUAUGGGUAGCGAAGAGGAUUAGAUACCCUCGUAGUCCAUACUGUAAACAAUGAUUGUUAGAUGUAAGAAAUUUAUUUUUUGUAUCACAGCUAACGCGUUAAACAAUCCGCCUGGGGAGUACGACCGC
RNAcentral lists this ribosomal RNA (806 nucleotides) under uncultured Pelagibacteraceae bacterium. RNAcentral's name for it is "bacterial SSU rRNA". It matches the Rfam family "Bacterial small subunit ribosomal RNA", at positions 34 to 889 of the family's 1533-position model. Lineage: Bacteria; Pseudomonadati; Pseudomonadota; Alphaproteobacteria; Candidatus Pelagibacterales; Candidatus Pelagibacteraceae. The record is from RNAcentral.